CCUACGGGAGGCAGCAGUGAGGAAUAUUGGUCAAUGGACGAGAGUCUGAACCAGCCAAGUAGCGUGAAGGAUGACUGCCCUAUGGGUUGUAAACUUCUUUUAUAUGGGAAUAAAAUGUUCCACGUGUGGGAUUUUGUAUGUACCAUAUGAAUAAGGAUCGGCUAACUCCGUGCCAGCAGCCGCGGUAAUACGGAGGAUCCGAGCGUUAUCCGGAUUUAUUGGGUUUAAAGGGAGCGUAGGUGGAUUGUUAAGUCAGUUGUGAAAGUUUGCGGCUCAACCGUAAAAUUGCAGUUGAAACUGGCAGUCGUGAGUACAGUAGAGGUGGGCGGAAUUCGUGGUGUAGCGGUGAAAUGCUUAGAUAUCACGAAGAACUCCGAUUGCGAAGGUAGCUCACUGGACUGUAACUGACACUGAGGCUCGAAAGUGUGGGUAUCAAACAGGAUUAGAUACCCCAGUAGUC
This 460-nucleotide ribosomal RNA is filed under the name uncultured bacterium. Its description in RNAcentral is "partial 16S ribosomal RNA". It matches the Rfam family "Bacterial small subunit ribosomal RNA", at positions 338 to 795 of the family's 1533-position model. The record is from RNAcentral.